AUAAUACUCCCUAUGUCCUGAAUUACUUGUCGCAGAACUGGAUAAAUGGAUGUAUUUAAAACUAAAAUACGCCUACAUACAUCCAUUUCUGCGACAAGUAAUUCUGGACGGAGGGAGUACAUC
This is a non-coding RNA of Triticum aestivum (bread wheat), 123 nucleotides long. NCBI's taxonomy places the organism in Eukaryota, Viridiplantae, Streptophyta, Magnoliopsida, Poales, Poaceae. The record is from Rfam.